UUAAGUUAUUAAGGGCGCACGGUGGAUGCCUUGGCACUAGAAGCCGAUGAAGGACGUUACUAACGACGAUAUGCUUUGGGGAGCUGUAAGUAAGCUUUGAUCCAGAGAUUUCCGAAUGGGGAAACCCAGCAUGAGUUAUGUCAUGUUAUCGAUAUGUGAAUACAUAGCAUAUCAGAAGGCACACCCGGAGAACUGAAACAUCUUAGUACCCGGAGGAAGAGAAAGAAAAUUCGAUUCCCUUAGUAGCGGCGAGCGAAACGGGAAGAGCCCAAACCAACAAGCUUGCUUGUUGGGGUUGUAGGACACUCUAUACGGAGUUACAAAGGACGACAUUAGACGAAUCAUCUGGAAAGAUGAAUCAAAGAAGGUAAUAAUCCUGUAGUCGAAAAUGUUGUCUCUCUUGAGUGGAUCCUGAGUACGACGGAGCACGUGAAAUUCCGUCGGAAUCUGGGAGGACCAUCUCCUAAGGCUAAAUACUCUCUAGUGACCGAUAGUGAACCAGUACCGUGAGGGAAAGGUGAAAAGCACCCCGGAAGGGGAGUGAAAUAGAACCUGAAACCGUGUGCUUACAAGUAGUCAGAGCCCGUUAAUGGGUGAUGGCGUGCCUUUUGUAGAAUGAACCGGCGAGUUACGAUUUGAUGCAAGGUUAAGCAGUAAAUGUGGAGCCGUAGCGAAAGCGAGUCUGAAUAGGGCGUUUAGUAUUUGGUCGUAGACCCGAAACCAGGUGAUCUACCCUUGGUCAGGUUGAAGUUCAGGUAACACUGAAUGGAGGACCGAACCGACUUACGUUGAAAAGUGAGCGGAUGAACUGAGGGUAGCGGAGAAAUUCCAAUCGAACCUGGAGAUAGCUGGUUCUCUCCGAAAUAGCUUUAGGGCUAGCCUCAAGUGAUGAUUAUUGGAGGUAGAGCACUGUUUGGACGAGGGGCCCCUCUCGGGUUACCGAAUUCAGACAAACUCCGAAUGCCAAUUAAUUUAACUUGGGAGUCAGAACAUGGGUGAUAAGGUCCGUGUUCGAAAGGGAAACAGCCCAGACCACCAGCUAAGGUCCCAAAAUAUAUGUUAAGUGGAAAAGGAUGUGGCGUUGCCCAGACAACUAGGAUGUUGGCUUAGAAGCAGCCAUCAUUUAAAGAGUGCGUAAUAGCUCACUAGUCGAGUGACACUGCGCCGAAAAUGUACCGGGGCUAAACAUAUUACCGAAGCUGUGGAUUGUCCUUUGGACAAUGGUAGGAGAGCGUUCUAAGGGCGUUGAAGCAUGAUCGUAAGGACAUGUGGAGCGCUUAGAAGUGAGAAUGCCGGUGUGAGUAGCGAAAGACGGGUGAGAAUCCCGUCCACCGAUUGACUAAGGUUUCCAGAGGAAGGCUCGUCCGCUCUGGGUUAGUCGGGUCCUAAGCUGAGGCCGACAGGCGUAGGCGAUGGAUAACAGGUUGAUAUUCCUGUACCACCUAUAAUCGUUUUAAUCGAUGGGGGGACGCAGUAGGAUAGGCGAAGCGUGCGAUUGGAUUGCACGUCUAAGCAGUAAGGCUGAGUAUUAGGCAAAUCCGGUACUCGUUAAGGCUGAGCUGUGAUGGGGAGAAGACAUUGUGUCUUCGAGUCGUUGAUUUCACACUGCCGAGAAAAGCCUCUAGAUAGAAAAUAGGUGCCCGUACCGCAAACCGACACAGGUAGUCAAGAUGAGAAUUCUAAGGUGAGCGAGCGAACUCUCGUUAAGGAACUCGGCAAAAUGACCCCGUAACUUCGGGAGAAGGGGUGCUCUUUAGGGUUAACGCCCAGAAGAGCCGCAGUGAAUAGGCCCAAGCGACUGUUUAUCAAAAACACAGGUCUCUGCUAAACCGUAAGGUGAUGUAUAGGGGCUGACGCCUGCCCGGUGCUGGAAGGUUAAGAGGAGUGGUUAGCUUCUGCGAAGCUACGAAUCGAAGCCCCAGUAAACGGCGGCCGUAACUAUAACGGUCCUAAGGUAGCGAAAUUCCUUGUCGGGUAAGUUCCGACCCGCACGAAAGGCGUAACGAUUUGGGCACUGUCUCAACGAGAGACUCGGUGAAAUCAUAGUACCUGUGAAGAUGCAGGUUACCCGCGACAGGACGGAAAGACCCCGUGGAGCUUUACUGUAGCCUGAUAUUGAAAUUCGGCACAGCUUGUACAGGAUAGGUAGGAGCCUUUGAAACGUGAGCGCUAGCUUACGUGGAGGCGCUGGUGGGAUACUACCCUAGCUGUGUUGGCUUUCUAACCCGCACCACUUAUCGUGGUGGGAGACAGUGUCAGGCGGGCAGUUUGACUGGGGCGGUCGCCUCCUAAAAGGUAACGGAGGCGCUCAAAGGUUCCCUCAGAAUGGUUGGAAAUCAUUCAUAGAGUGUAAAGGCAUAAGGGAGCUUGACUGCGAGACCUACAAGUCGAGCAGGGUCGAAAGACGGACUUAGUGAUCCGGUGGUUCCGC
This 2431-nucleotide ribosomal RNA is filed under the name Staphylococcus aureus M0062. RNAcentral describes it as "bacterial LSU rRNA". It matches the Rfam family "Bacterial large subunit ribosomal RNA", at positions 3 to 2432 of the family's 2925-position model. Lineage: Bacteria; Bacillati; Bacillota; Bacilli; Caryophanales; Staphylococcaceae. The record is from RNAcentral.